UUUCCGUAGGUGAACCUGCGGAAGGAUCAUUACAGAGUUCAUGCCCGAAAGGGUAGACCUCCACCCCUUUAGUAUUUUGACUUUGUUGCUUUGGCGAGCGCAACCUCGCCAGAGAAUACCAAAACCCUUUUUAUUAAUGUCGUCUGAGUACUAUAAAAUAAUAAAAACUUUCAACAACGGAUCUCUUGGUUCUG
Molecule: unclassified non-coding RNA, 194 nt
Filed under: plant metagenome
Description: partial contains small subunit ribosomal RNA, internal transcribed spacer 1, and 5.8S ribosomal RNA
Source: RNAcentral